Molecule: long non-coding RNA, 290 nt
Filed under: Pongo abelii (Sumatran orangutan)
Lineage: Eukaryota; Metazoa; Chordata; Mammalia; Primates; Hominidae
Description: lincRNA
Source: RNAcentral
UGGGCUUUUAUGUGCUUUUUACCUAAUGACUAUGAUAAAAUCUAUGAUAUUCAUGUACUAACACCUGUCCUGGGCUAUGUGACCAUGGACAACACCUAUAAUGCAGCUAGUUUGUAGGAACUAUAGACUCAGCUAAUUCUAUUCUGUAUCUCUAGGCUAUAUUCUAUAUCUACAAGCUGGAUCUAUAUCUCUUCCAUAUCUAUAGGCUCAGAUAAUUCCAGACGUACAUGCAGAGGUUGGAACCCCCUUGCACAGUGACUCAUGAUCCCACAGGUUAGUGCUGAGGACAG